UACGUAGGUGGCAAGCGUUGUCCGGAAUUAUUGGGCGUAAAGGGCACGCAGGCGGUUUUUUAAGUCUGAUGUGAAAGGCUGUGGCUCAACCACAGAAUGACAUUGGAAACUGGAAAACUUGAGUGCAGAAGAGGAGAGUGGAAUUCCACGUGUAGCGGUGAAAUGCGUAGAUAUGUGGAGGAACACCAGUGGCGAAGGCGACUCUCUGGUCUGUAACUGACGCUGAGGUGCGAAAGCGUGGGGAGCGAACAGG
RNAcentral lists this ribosomal RNA (253 nucleotides) under uncultured bacterium. RNAcentral's name for it is "partial 16S ribosomal RNA". It matches the Rfam family "Bacterial small subunit ribosomal RNA", at positions 524 to 776 of the family's 1533-position model. The record is from RNAcentral.